Molecule: ribosomal RNA, 497 nt
Filed under: uncultured bacterium
Lineage: Bacteria
Description: partial 16S ribosomal RNA
Rfam family: Bacterial small subunit ribosomal RNA
Source: RNAcentral
GAUGAACGCUGGCGGCGUGCCUAAUACAUGCAAGUCGAGCGAACAGACGAGGAGCUUGCUCCUCUGACGUUAGCGGCGGACGGGUGAGUAACACGUGGAUAACCUACCUAUAAGACUGGGAUAACUUCGGGAAACCGGAGCUAAUACCGGAUAAUAUAUUGAACCGCAUGGUUCAAUAGUGAAAGACGGUUUUGCUGUCCCUUAUAGAUGGAUCCGCGCCGCAUUAGCUAGUUGGUAAGGUAACGGCUUACCAAGGCAACGAUGCGUAGCCGACCUGAGAGGGUGAUCAGCCACACUGGAACUGAGACACGGUCCAGACUCCUACGGGAGGCAGCAGUAGGGAAUCUUCCGCAAUGGGCGAAAGCCUGACGGAGCAACGCCGCGUGAGUGAUGAAGGUCUUCGGAUCGUAAAACUCUGUUAUUAGGGAAGAACAAAUGUGUAAGUAACUAUGCACGUCUUGACGGUACCUAAUCAGAAAGCCACGGCUAACUACGUG